Molecule: ribosomal RNA, 229 nt
Filed under: uncultured bacterium
Lineage: Bacteria
Description: partial 16S ribosomal RNA
Rfam family: Bacterial small subunit ribosomal RNA
Source: RNAcentral
GAUCUGGCUCAGGACGAACGCUGGCGGCGCGCCUAACACAUGCAAGUCGAACGAGCGAGAGAGAGCUUGCUUUCUCGAGCGAGUGGCGAACGGGUGAGUAACGCGUGAGGAACCUGCCUCAAAGAGGGGGACAACAGUUGGAAACGACUGCUAAUACCGCAUAAGCUCACAGCUCGGCAUCGAGCAGAGGGAAAAGGAGCAAUCCGCUUUGAGAUGGCCUCGCGUCCGA